GACGAACGCUGGCGGCGUGCCUAAUACAUGCAAGUUGAGCGCUGAAGGUUGGUACUUGUACCAACUGGAUGAGCAGCGAACGGGUGAGUAACGCGUGGGGAAUCUGCCUUUGAGCGGGGGACAACAUUUGGAAACGAAUGCUAAUACCGCAUAAAAACUUUAAACACAAGUUUUAAGUUUGAAAGAUGCAAUUGCAUCACUCAAAGAUGAUCCCGCGUUGUAUUAGCUAGUUGGUGAGGUAAAGGCUCACCAAGGCGAUGAUACAUAGCCGACCUGAGAGGGUGAUCGGCCACAUUGGGACUGAGACACGGCCCAAACUCCUACGGGAGGCAGCAGUAGGGAAUCUUCGGCAAUGGACGAAAGUCUUACCGAGCAACGCCGCGUGAGUGAAGAAGGUUUUCGGAUCGUAAAACUCUGUUGGUAGAGAAGAACGUUGGUGAGAGUGGAGAGCUCAUCAAGUGACGGUAACUACCCAGAAAGGGACGGCUAACUACGUG
This 497-nucleotide ribosomal RNA is filed under the name uncultured bacterium. Its description in RNAcentral is "partial 16S ribosomal RNA". It matches the Rfam family "Bacterial small subunit ribosomal RNA", at positions 28 to 507 of the family's 1533-position model. The record is from RNAcentral.